This 30-nucleotide non-coding RNA is filed under the name Rattus norvegicus (Norway rat). The record is from RNAcentral. Lineage: Eukaryota; Metazoa; Chordata; Mammalia; Rodentia; Muridae.
UAAUGAGGAAAUAUCUGUAUUUCCACUCUU